This is an RNA transcript of Cebus imitator (Panamanian white-faced capuchin), 2790 nucleotides long. It is a transcript of the gene named coatomer subunit gamma-1-like, with no coding region annotated. The transcript has 2 exons. Lineage: Eukaryota; Metazoa; Chordata; Mammalia; Primates; Cebidae. The record is from RefSeq and is a predicted model, not a curated record.
AUGGCGGGGAACUCCUUCGUCGGGAAGCAGCAGGUGGCCAAGCAGCAGCCCCUGCGCCGCCUCAUCUGCAUAGAAGUCGCCCCCUCCAUACUGUUUAAAGAAGCCUCCAUCGAGUGUCCCUGCAGAACCACUGUUGCCCGCCUCUCCGUGCCGCACCCGACAAGCAUUGCGUUGCUGCUGUGUCCCACUGGCUCCACCACGUUGAAGAAAUUUGACAAGAAGGACGAGGAGUCAAGUGGAGGCUCCAACCCACUCCAGCACCUUGAGAAGACAGCCAUACUCCAAGAGGCCCGUGCAUUUAAUGAAACUCCCAUCAAUCCUCGGAAAUGUGCCCACAUCCUCACCAAGAUCCUUUAUCUCAUAAACCAUGGGGAGCAUCUGGGGACCAUGGAAGCGACCGAAGCCUUCUUUGCCAUGACCAAGCUCUUUCAGUCCAAUGAUCUCACACUCUGUCGGAUGUGCUACGUGACCAUCAGGGAGAUGUCUUGCAUCGCAGAGGAUGUCAUCAUUGUCACCAGCAGCCUAAGAAAAGACGUAACUGGGAAAGGAGACAACUAUCAGGGCCCAGCUGUGCAAGCCCUCUGCCAGACCACCGACAGCACCAUGCUGCGUGCUACUGAGCGCUGCAUGAAACAGGCCAUUGUAGACAAGGUGCCCAUGUCUGCAGCUCUGCCCUGUGUCUUCCUUGCACCUGCUGAAAUGCAGCUUUCACAUGGUCAAGUGCUGGGUGAAUGAGGCUCAGGAGGUGGCAUCCAGUGAUAACAUCAUGGUCCAGCACCACGCACUAGGGCUCCUGUACCACGUGUGUAAGAAUGACCGCCUGGCUGUCAAUAAGAUGACCAGCAAGGUCACCCGGCAUGGCCUUAAGUCUUCCUUUGCCUACUGCAUGAUGAUCCAGGUGGCCAGCAAGUAGCUGGAAGAGGAGGAUGGCAGCCAUGACAGUCCACUGACUUCAUCGAGCACUGCUUGUGCAACAGGCAUGAGAUGGUGGUGUGCGAAGCUGCCUCGGCCAUCGUCAACCUGCCAGGCUGCAGUGCCAAGGAGCUGCACCAGCUGUGCCAGUGCUCCGGCUGUUCUGCAGCUCACCCAAGCCUACUCUCCAUUAUGCGGCUGUUCGCACCCUCAAUAAGGUUGCCAUGAAGCAUCCGUCAGCUGUGAUAGCUUGCAGGCUGGAUCUGGAGAACCUGGUCACAGAUUCAAACCGCAGCAUUGCCACGCUGGCUGUCACCACACUCCUUAAGACAGGCAGUGAGAGCAGCAUCGACCGCCUUAUGAAGCAGGUGUCCUCCUUCGUGUCAGAGAUCUCGGAUGAACUCAGCGUGGUGGUUGUCCAGGCCAUCAGUGCCCUGUGUCGGAAGCAUCCUCACAAACACGCCAGCCUCAUGAACUUCCUGCUCACCAUGCUGCGGGAAGAGGGUGGCUUUGAGUACAAGCGCGUCAUUGGGGACUGCAUCGUCAGCAUCACUAAGAACUCAGGGAGCAAGGAGACAGGGCUGUCACAUCUGUGCGAGUUCAUUGAGGACUGCAAGGUCACAGUGCUGGCCACCCGUAUUCUGCAUCUCCUGGGCCAGGAGGGACCCAAGACCACCAACCCUCAAAGUACAUCUGCUUCAUCUAUAACGGAGCGGUCUUGGGGCAUGAGGAGGUCCGGGCAGGUGCUGAGAGUGCUCUGGCCAAGUCUGGAGCACAGAAUGAAGACAUUCCCCAGUAUCGUGGUGUUGCUGAAGAGGUAUGUGAUGGAUGAUGACAAUGAAAUAAGGGACUGAGCCACCUUGUCUAAAAGUCCUGGAGUGAAGCAGAAGGCCCUCAAUGCGGGCUAUGUCCUAAAUGGUCUGACUGUGUCCAUCCUGGUCUGGAGAGGGCUCUGCAUCAGUACACACUAGAACCAUCAGAGAAAGCUUUGACCUCAAGUCUGUGCCCCUAGCCACUGCACCCAUGGCAGGGCAGAGAAUGGAAAGCAGCCCCAUCACUGCAGACAGCCUGAUAAAGUGGCAGCUACCAGGAGAUCUUCCAGGAGCAGUUGGCGGCAGUGCCUGAGUUCCAGGGACCUGGGCCCGUCUUAAAGUCCUCGCCUGAGUCGAUGGCCCUCACUGAGUCAGAGACCAAGUAUGUCAUCGGCUGCACCAAACACGCCUUCACUGACCACAUGGUGCUUCAGUUUGACUGCAGGAACACAUCCAGUGACCAGACCCCAGAGAAUGCCACAGUGCAGAUGAGCCCACUGAGGCCUAUGAGGGGCUCUGUUAUGUGCCUGCCCAGCGCUUGCCCUACAACCAGCCUGGGACCUGCACACUGGUGCACUGCCCAAAGGAGACCCCACAGCUGUGGCCUGCACAUUCAGCCGCAUGCUGAAGUUCACUGUCAAGGACUGUGCUCCCACCACUGGGGAGACCGACGACGAAGGCUAUGAGGAUGAGUAUGUGCUGGAAAGUCUGGAAGUUACUGUAGCUGAUCACAUUCAAAAGGUCAUGAAACGACUUCGAAGCAGCCUGGGGUGAGGUGGGGGAUGAAUUUGGGAAGGAGGAAAUGUUCACCUUGUCUACCAUCAAGAUACGUGGAGAGGCUGUGGAUAACAUCGUGAAGUUCUUGGGAAUGCACCCUUGUGAGAGGUCAGACAAGGUGCUGGAUGACAAGAACACCCACACGUUGCUCCUGGCUGGUGUGUUCUGGGGUGGUCGUGACAUCCUGGUGCACUCUCAGCUGCUGCUUUUGGACACAGUGACAAUGCAAGCGACAGCCAGAAGUUUGGAGGAGCUGCCAGUAGACAUCAUUUUGGCAUCUGUGGGCUAA